RNAcentral lists this long non-coding RNA (2863 nucleotides) under Mytilus galloprovincialis (Mediterranean mussel). Lineage: Eukaryota; Metazoa; Mollusca; Bivalvia; Mytilida; Mytilidae. The record is from RNAcentral.
AAAAUGUGAUAAAAUGUCAAUAUACUUUCACUUGCAUUUAAAUUAUUAUUACAUGUAUAUUUUAAAAAAUUAUGUACACUUGUAAAUAUUUUCACUAAUACUUACCAAUGAAACAGGGAUUCAAAAUUACGUGUCUGGUGUAUUAAAUUAUAAACCUGGUACCUUUGAUAACUAUUUACCUUAGCAGAGUUGUUCCCCUUAUAUUUGUGCAGAGUUGUUUCCCUUUUAUUUGUGAUAUAACUGCUCCCAACUAUGCUUCAUACAAAAUCUUUUCAUUUGUGUAAUAUUUAUCUGUUUAGCAAUUUCUCCUUUGAUUUCAGUGAAUAUUUUUUUUUUAAUGAAUUUUUUAUUCCCCCCUCUGUAUUAAGAAACAUACAUGCAAACUAAAGGGACAUAACUCCAAACAUUAUUCAAAGGAAACUUUCUUGCUCAUCAUUAUAAACUACAUCAUUCAGAAAUGGGCUCUGCGUGUAAAAGAAUCCUCACAAUUUGUUGAGAGGUUUGUAUGUGGCAUGUUUGCAAGGCAAAAUUGUGUCCCCGUCCAAUAUUCCUUUAUUUUACAGUGACAGUCAAGACUUCCUGUCCUUCAAUCCUGUCAUCCCAUCUUCCAGGAACUGAAAAACAUAUACAUUGUGCAAUUGUAUAAAUUUUUGAUAGGCCACUUCUAUAAAAAAAAAAAUGGAUUCUGAUAGAACAUAGUCGUACUCCGAACUUGAAGCUACGAUCUCUAUCUCUGAAACUUAUACACAAUGCUUAUUACCACAAAAUACAGAUUGAGUUUGAAUUUGGGUGGCGUUACUUUUACCAUUCUAAAGUUGUGCCCUUUUAUAUAGAGCAGGACACAUUCUCCAUUUCUUUUAUUUCCAAUUGAUGACAUCUGUUUAUUGCAUCAAAGUAUUAACAGUUUUGGAAAUUAACUGAAUUUUGUCACCAAAUGACCUUAGAUCUGAUCCAAAUAACCUUUUGGACGUCAAACAAAAACCACAUUUUAAUUGUGACAUCAAAUUAAAUAAAAUUGUGAUGUCAAAGUUCAUGGGAACUUGUGUAAGUUUACGUAAUGGAGGACAAUUUUGCAUACAAUUGUAAUUGCAUCUAUUGAAUUGACUAUUUCCUGUAUUCAAAGUAUACUGUUGUAUCUUGCCUUGAUUAUUUUCAGGUCAGAUUACCAAACCAUUAUGCAUGUACAUGUAAAUCUUUGUCAAAUUAUUUGCUCACAUUAAGAUAUAUAGAUACUUGAUAAUCCAAAGUGCUGAGAAAAAUGAUAAACUAUAUAUGUACAUAUUUUAGCAAAGUUCAUUGCAUUGCUGUUUUCCCCAAAGCAGAUUGAAAUAUUUCUGUGUUUACAGAAUUGUAUUUAAUAAUUAUUUUAUUGUGUUAUAUUAAAUUGUUUGUUUUUGUUUAGAUAUUGUUACAGGAUUAUAUUCUUCGUAAGUUUUGAUUUUUUAUUUGUUUUUAAUAUGAAGAAAGAAUAAAGACCUAUAUUGAAUUCAUGUGCCCAUUGCCAUUUAUGAGCAAUACAAGGAAUGUAUCGGGGUCAACUAUUCUUCCAUCAGACUGUUCAGGCGAUGUAUUGAGCCAAUUAUUGCAAAUUGUUUACAUGACAUUUGAUUUUAAAUGAAAGCCUUUUUUGUAUGUUUACUUCUUAUAGCAUACUAAAAUGAUUGCUACAUUUUACUUAUAUUAAGGACAUUGAUCCAUAAUUUUGAAAACAUUUGGUUGAUUGCUGUUCCCCAAGAAAAUAAAUGCCCCUUUUUUUUUCAAGCCCCCCCCCCAUUUUUGAAAGUCUAAAUCCUCUAUAUAUCUACUGUAGUUAAUGGUGAUCUGAUGAUUGAUUUUCCUAUGUGAUAAAAAAAAACUAUGUCUUCGUGAAUAUUCCAACUAGAUAUUCAAUAGUAAACUAUCAUGAUAAAUCCACAAUGAAAAUAUUGUAUAAACCCUGAGGAGCAGAGGACAGCUAUUUACUUGCAGGAUUAAUUCAUACAUAUACAUUGAAGAUUUGUUGUUGUAAUCAUGUUAAAUGCAAUAAUAUGUAAAUUUGUAUGUGGUGUAUUAAAUUUUUGGUGAAUUUAGAAGUUCAAUGCAAAUUUUGAAACUGGCAAUACGUAAGGGAAGUAACUAUUGCAAGUCUGCAGUUGUCUUUAAUGGAUUUAACAGUAAAAAUGUUAUUUAAAAGCAGAAAAAAUUGCAGUUUUUGCUUCUGUUCAAUUUUUUGUUUGGAGUCUAAUGGUUAAAAUUUAGUUGUUAAAUUAUAAUUUUCAAAUCAGCCAAAUAAUUGAUAACAAUAUAUGAGGCUCUCGAUGGGAUUAACAGAAUAAAGGGCAAAACAUAUUAAAGAAUUGAGAAAACAUAGGCAAAACAAAAUAAUAGAGCAAGAUGGGGUGUUUAAAAAUGUGGAAUCUAGAAUAACAGCAAAAAAAAAAGGAUAGAAAAAAUGGCAGUAAAAUUAAAGAAUACCUCCCCCCCUCUCCUGACUCAAAUUUUAGCAAAUCUUUUUUUUAAUAAAGAAAAACUUUAUUUAUCACCAUGCCAAAUAUCAACCUGAACACCAGAGCGAAAUAUUAAUAUUUUGAUUCAGGACUACUUCUUUUAAUGGAGAUACAUGUACUUGUGAUGAAAGUUAUGAUAUGGUUAAAUUAUGUUAUUGUCAAGUUGGUGAAUUUGACAAAAUUUCUGAAUUGAUUUGUAAUUUUGUUUACCUAAAUUAAAUAGAUGAUCAUUGUUAAAGUUGCUUGUUGAGGAAAAUAAAGGGCCAACUAAUUAAUUUGGUGUUUCAUUUACUGGUGCAAAUGAUUUCAUAUUUUAUAGUAUGAACAGCGUUCUCCUCCGAAAUUUCUUAGGAAGCAAACUUUUAACUUCAAGGGGG